Long non-coding RNA from Cololabis saira (Pacific saury), 382 nucleotides. RefSeq lists it as uncharacterized. NCBI's taxonomy places the organism in Eukaryota, Metazoa, Chordata, Actinopteri, Beloniformes, Belonidae. The transcript has 3 exons. The record is from RefSeq and is a predicted model, not a curated record.
UUUUUCGAGGUCGUUUGUGCAUUGCAGUAAUCACAUUUCAUUCCAGGGACUCCGGAUCAGGUCCGACACCUAAUAAGCUUUAGGACUACCAACGAGGAGAAUUUUACUAAGAAGAAAUAUGCUGCUAAACCACUGUGGGAGAAACUCAUCAAAGAGCUGGAACUGGAGGGAAAGGUGACCACAGCACAAAUUGGCAAAAAUGGGAAAAUCUUAAAAAAAAAAUAUAAGAACACUUUGGAAGACGCCAGCACAUUGGCCUCAAGCUCUGCCUCACCAGCUGGAAGAGGAAGCUGGAAGCUUCAGGCAUCAGGUCCACUUUCCCCCCGAUCCCCAAAAAAAAGAAACUCUCUAUGCAGGACUUCCUUCAAGCUGAGGCCGCCAA